This 459-nucleotide ribosomal RNA is filed under the name Pseudomonas sp. J59. RNAcentral describes it as "bacterial SSU rRNA". It matches the Rfam family "Bacterial small subunit ribosomal RNA", at positions 155 to 607 of the family's 1533-position model. Lineage: Bacteria; Pseudomonadati; Pseudomonadota; Gammaproteobacteria; Pseudomonadales; Pseudomonadaceae. The record is from RNAcentral.
AAGGAACGCUAAUACCGCAUACGUCCUACGGGAGAAAGCAGGGGACCUUCGGGCCUUGCGCUAUCAGAUGAGCCUAGGUCGGAUUAGCUAGUUGGUGGGGUAAUGGCUCACCAAGGCGACGAUCCGUAACUGGUCUGAGAGGAUGAUCAGUCACACUGGAACUGAGACACGGUCCAGACUCCUACGGGAGGCAGCAGUGGGGAAUAUUGGACAAUGGGCGAAAGCCUGAUCCAGCCAUGCCGCGUGUGUGAAGAAGGUCUUCGGAUUGUAAAGCACUUUAAGUUGGGAGGAAGGGCAGUAAGUUAAUACCUUGCUUUUUUUUACGUUACCGACAGAAUAAGCACCGGCUAACUCUGUGCCAGCAGCCGCGGUAAUACAGAGGGUGCAAAGCGUUAAUCGGAAUUACUGGGCGUAAAGCGCGCGUAGGUGGUUUGUUAAGUUGGAUGUGAAAGCCCCGGG